AUUGAACGCUGGCGGCAUGCCUUACACAUGCAAGUCGAACGGCAGCACGGGUGCUUGCCCCUGGUGGCGAGUGGCGAACGGGUGAGUAAUACAUCGGAACAUGUCCUGUGGUGGGGGAUAGCCCGGCGAAAGCCGGAUUAAUACCGCAUACGAUCUACGGAUGAAAGCGGGGGACCUUCGGGCCUCGCGCUAUAGGGUUGGCCGAUGGCUGAUUAGCUAGUUGGUGGGGUAAAGGCCUACCAAGGCGACGAUCAGUAGCUGGUCUGAGAGGACGACCAGCCACACUGGGACUGAGACACGGCCCAGACUCCUACGGGAGGCAGCAGUGGGGAAUUUUGGACAAUGGGCGAAAGCCUGAUCCAGCAAUGCCGCGUGUGUGAAGAAGGCCUUCGGGUUGUAAAGCACUUUUGUCCGGAAAGAAAUCCUUGGCCCUAAUACGGUCGGGGGAUGACGGUACCGGAAGAAUAAGCACCGGCUAACUACGUG
RNAcentral lists this ribosomal RNA (486 nucleotides) under uncultured bacterium. Its description in RNAcentral is "partial 16S ribosomal RNA". It matches the Rfam family "Bacterial small subunit ribosomal RNA", at positions 30 to 507 of the family's 1533-position model. The record is from RNAcentral.